GCCAGGCAUGGUGGCGCAUGCCUGUAAUCCCAGCUACUCAGGAGGCUGAGAUAGGAGAAUUGCUUGAACCUGGGAGGUGGAGGUUGCAGUGAGCCAAGAUUGUGCCACUGCACUCCAGCCUGGGCAACAGAGUGAGACUCUGUCUCAA
RNAcentral lists this non-coding RNA (148 nucleotides) under Pan troglodytes (chimpanzee). Lineage: Eukaryota; Metazoa; Chordata; Mammalia; Primates; Hominidae. The record is from Rfam by way of RNAcentral.